Molecule: non-coding RNA, 132 nt
Filed under: Amphidinium massartii
Lineage: Eukaryota; Dinophyceae; Amphidiniales; Amphidiniaceae
Source: RNAcentral
CCAACAGGCCCAUUGUCCAUUGAUAGAUUUAAGUCGCUCAGGCGCCUGGCCUGUAAGAGUGUUCAUAGUCGCAGAGCUCAGCGAUGGAAGGAAACGGCGCAGGUACUCCAGCUGACAACUUGGAGCAAGGCA